UACGAAGGGGGCUAGCGUUGCUCGGAAUCACUGGGCGUAAAGGGUGCGUAGGCGGGUCUUUAAGUCAGGGGUGAAAUCCUGGAGCUCAACUCCAGAACUGCCUUUGAUACUGAAGAUCUUGAGUCCGGGAGAGGUGAGUGGAACUCCGAGUGUAGAGGUGAAAUUCGUAGAUAUUCGCAAGAACACCAGUGGCGAAGGCGGCUCACUGGCCCGAUACUGACGCUGAGGCACGAAAGCGUGGGGAGCGAACAGG
Molecule: ribosomal RNA, 253 nt
Filed under: uncultured bacterium
Lineage: Bacteria
Description: partial 16S ribosomal RNA
Rfam family: Bacterial small subunit ribosomal RNA
Source: RNAcentral